UACGAAGGGGGCUAGCGUUGUUCGGAAUUACUGGGCGUAAAGCGCACGUAGGCGGAUAUUUAAGUCAGGGGUGAAAUCCCAGAGCUCAACUCUGGAACUGCCUUUGAUACUGGGUAUCUCGAGUAUGGGAGAGGGAUGUAGAAUUCCAGGUGUAGCGGUGAAAUGCGUAGAUAUCUGGAGGAAUACCGGUGGCGAAGGCGGCAUCCUGGACCAUAACUGACGCUGAGGCGCGAAAGCUAGGGGAGCAAACGGG
This 253-nucleotide ribosomal RNA is filed under the name uncultured bacterium. RNAcentral describes it as "partial 16S ribosomal RNA". It matches the Rfam family "Bacterial small subunit ribosomal RNA", at positions 524 to 776 of the family's 1533-position model. The record is from RNAcentral.